This 404-nucleotide long non-coding RNA is filed under the name Manihot esculenta (cassava). RNAcentral describes it as "long non-coding RNA (MESC_LNC002591)". The record is from RNAcentral. Lineage: Eukaryota; Viridiplantae; Streptophyta; Magnoliopsida; Malpighiales; Euphorbiaceae.
CUCCUACUUCUCUUAUUCAGUUUAUUGUCAAUUCUGAAUGGCCAAAAGUAAACGCUACUUUUAAAUCAACCAAUCUCAUACAGAUCUCGAUGUGAGAUAUGAAAACUACUUCAGCUUAAUGACUCCAAAAUUUUCACAAGAUUAUGAACUAGCCAUUGAAAAAUGGACCAAGUAAUUAACCUAAGUAAAUCAAUACAUACUUAUCGCGGUAUCAGCAGGCAAGGGAGGCUGUAAGGCAAUAGCGAGUGGCAGGGACUGGGAGUAGAACUGGCACUGGGAGAUUUAAAUGAUUGAGACUCUCCAUUGUGCCUUGCUUAGCGAAGCCGAAAUAUGAUGGUGAUUAUGUAGGUGGCGUGUAUUGGAAUGGAAACUGGAGGAGCGAGCAAGGAAGAGGACGACAGCGC